Long non-coding RNA from Cygnus olor (mute swan), 317 nucleotides. RefSeq lists it as uncharacterized. The transcript is spliced from 3 exons. The record is from RefSeq and is a predicted model, not a curated record. Lineage: Eukaryota; Metazoa; Chordata; Aves; Anseriformes; Anatidae.
CAGGAUACGGUUGGCUUUCCGGGCUGCAAGAGAACAUACUUCUCAUUAUGCAGCUUCAUUCCACUUUGUCUGUAUAAAGUUCCGCUUCAUUGGAAACAAAAAUGUUUCUAAGAUUUCUGAGAUACCCAGAAGAUAAAGCUCAUGAAUACCACAGAAAUUUACAUCAAAAAAAAGACUGCUUCAGUCACUGAAAUUCUCUAGGCUCAAUAUCUGACAUGCAAAAUGAGGAUGUUUUUACCAUCAGAACCCAUGUUGUGGUCUUCUAAACAUGAGCUAUGAAAUCUUGUUUUCAGUGUCCUUAAGAAAAGCAAAUUAAA